AAUAUUGGACAAUGGGGGAAACCCUGAUCUAGCCAUCCCGCGUGUAUGAUUAAGGCAUUCUGUUUGUAAAGUACUUUUGUUAGAGAAGAAAAGGUACCUCCUAAUACGAGGUACUGCUGACUGUACCGGCAGAAUAAGCACUGGCUAACUACCUGCGAGCAGCUGCGGUAAUACGUAGGGUCCAAGCUUCAAUCGGAAUUACUGGGCGUAACGCGUGUGUAGGCGGUUCGGAAAGAAAGAUGUGAAAUCCCAGGGCUCAACCUUGGAACUGCAUUUUUAACUGCCGAGCUAGAGUAUGUCAGAGGGGGGUAGAGUUCCACGUGUAGCAGUGAAAUGCGUAGAUAUGUGGAGGAAUACCGAUGGCGAAGGCAGCCCCCUGGGAUAAUACUGACGCUCAGACACGAAAGCGUGGGGAGCAAACA
RNAcentral lists this ribosomal RNA (422 nucleotides) under uncultured bacterium. RNAcentral describes it as "partial 16S ribosomal RNA". It matches the Rfam family "Bacterial small subunit ribosomal RNA", at positions 360 to 774 of the family's 1533-position model. The record is from RNAcentral.